Molecule: ribosomal RNA, 382 nt
Filed under: uncultured eukaryote
Lineage: Eukaryota
Description: partial 18S ribosomal RNA
Rfam family: Eukaryotic small subunit ribosomal RNA
Source: RNAcentral
CAAUAGCGUAUAUUAAAGUUGUUGCAGUUAAAAAGCUCGUAGUUGGAUUUCUGGUUGAAGCGACCGGUCGGGCGUUGAUUCGUCUGCACUGGAGUCGGUUUUGGCCAUCCUCUAGGAAAGUGCGUCUGGUAUUAAGUUAUCGGGCGUAUGAUCCUGGUCUUUUACUGUGAAAAAAUUAGAGUGUUUAAAGCAGGCCUUCGCCUUUAAUACAUUAGCAUGGAAUAAUAAGAUAGGACUUUGGUCUAUUUUGUUGGUUUGCAGACCGAAGUAAUGAUUAAUAGGGAUAGUUGGGGGUAUUUAUAUUCCGAUGUCAGAGGUGAAAUUCUUAGAUUUUCGGAAGAUAAACUUAUGCGAAAGCAUUUACCAAGGAUGUUUUCAUUAA